This 520-nucleotide ribosomal RNA is filed under the name Serratia symbiont of Rhopalosiphum padi. RNAcentral describes it as "bacterial SSU rRNA". It matches the Rfam family "Bacterial small subunit ribosomal RNA", at positions 591 to 1110 of the family's 1533-position model. The record is from RNAcentral. Lineage: Bacteria; Pseudomonadati; Pseudomonadota; Gammaproteobacteria; Enterobacterales; Yersiniaceae.
GAUGUGAAAUCCCCGGGCUCAACCUGGGAACUGCAUUCGAAACUGGCAGGCUAGAGUCUUGUAGAGGGGGGUAGAAUUCCAGGUGUAGCGGUGAAAUGCGUAGAGAUCUGGAGGAAUACCGGUGGCGAAGGCGGCCCCCUGGACAAAGACUGACGCUCAGGUGCGAAAGCGUGGGGAGCAAACAGGAUUAGAUACCCUGGUAGUCCACGCCGUAAACGAUGUCGACUUGGAGGUUGUGCCCUUGAGGCGUGGCUUCCGGAGCUAACGCGUUAAGUCGACCGCCUGGGGAGUACGGCCGCAAGGUUAAAACUCAAAUGAAUUGACGGGGGCCCGCACAAGCGGUGGAGCAUGUGGUUUAAUUCGAUGCAACGCGAAAAACCUUACCUACUCUUGACAUCCAGAGAACUUUCCAGAGAUGCUUUGGUGCCUUCGGGAACUCUGAGACAGGUGCUGCAUGGCUGUCGUCAGCUCGUGUUGUGAAAUGUUGGGUUAAGUCCCGCAACGAGCGCAACCCUUAUCC